AGAUUAUCAAAAAUGGAUAACUAUACAACACUUGUGCUUUGAUCAACUUUGGCCUUGAGCUUUCUUUAUAUUAUUAUAGCAAAAAUAUGUAGUAUUAGAAGCAUCAAAAAACUUCCACCAGGGCCAUCACCAUGGCCAAUUAUUGGAAAUUUUCAUUUGUUAGGUACAAAACCUCAUAGAUCACUAGUUAAUCUUGCACAAAUAUAUGGUCCAAUUAUGAGUUUGAAAAUAGGACAAAAGACAAUAGUUGUCAUUUCUUCAUCAACCAUGGCAAAACAAGUCCUUCAAAAGCAAGACUUAGCCUUUUCCAAAUUUUCUGUGGUAUGUCUUCCUGUUUGUCCUCAAUGGCGAACGCUUAGGAAAAUCUUGAACGAGAGUGUCUUCUCUUCCAAUAAGCUUGAUGCAAAUGAACAUCUAAGGUCUCAAAAAGUGAAAGAGUUGAUUGCUUAUUGUGCAAAAUGUAGUCAACAAGGUAAAGCUUUGGAUAUAUGUCAAGCUGUUUUCAAGACUAAUUUCAAUGUGAUGUGCAGCACCCUUUUCUCCAAGGACUUGGCUGACCCUUUUUCGGAUUCAAAGGUUGAGUUGAAGGAUAUGAUAUGGGGUGUCAUGAAUGAGGCUGCGAAGAUUAACCUAGCAGAUUAUUUCCCUAUACUUGAAAAGAUUGAUCUUCAAAGAAUAAGGUAUCAUGCAAAUUACCAUUUUGGUAAGUUGUUUAAAUUUUUAGAUGAUUUGAUCGAUGAACGAUUAGAGGAAAAACAAAGGAGCCAUGGUGAAAAGAAUGAUGUUUUGGAAGUAUUACUCAACUUCAGUGCAGAAAAUCCCAAAGAGAUGGAUCAAAAUCAUAUAAAAUCAAUGCUCCUGGACUUAUUUGCUGGUGGUACUGAUUCACCAGUAACCAUAUUAGAAUGGGCCAUGUCAGAAUUAGUUAGACAACCAGAAAUUAUGAAGAAAGUCCAACUUGAGCUUGGAGAAGUCAUUGGAAAAGGGAAACAAGUAGAAGAAUCAAAUAUUCCUAAACUCCCUUACUUGCAAUUCAUUGUCAAAGAAACCUUAAGAAUGCACCCACCAACUCCAUUUUUAAUACCCCGAAAAGUCGUCGAGCAAGAUGUUGAAUUGUGCAACUACAUCAUCCCAAAGGACUCAUUGAUUCUAGUUAAUGUAUGGGCGAUUGGUCGAGAUCCUACUUUUUGGAAGGACCCUUUGGUAUUUAGACCUGAGAGAUUCCAAAAUUUAGAAGUGGAUGUGCGAGGACAAGAUUUUGAAUUGAUUCCUUUUGGUGCUGGCCGAAGAAUAUGUCCUGGUUUACCAUUGGCAAUGAGAUUAGUCCAAACAAUGUUGGGUUCACUCUUGAAUUCCUUCAAGUUGAAACUUGAAGGAGACAUUGAGCCAAAAGACUUAGACAUGGAGGAAACAUUUAGUUUCAUCUCAUCCAAAGCUCAUCCUUUGCGAGUUAUCCCAUCUCCUCUUUGAUAUUUACACCAAAUCAUAUAUUUGGCAUACAAUGUUGGUAUAAUGUAAUAAUUGAGAUUUA
Molecule: RNA transcript, 1531 nt
Organism: Solanum pennellii
Lineage: Eukaryota; Viridiplantae; Streptophyta; Magnoliopsida; Solanales; Solanaceae
Gene name: geraniol 8-hydroxylase-like
Exons: 3
Source: RefSeq, a predicted model, not a curated record